This 443-nucleotide ribosomal RNA is filed under the name uncultured bacterium. RNAcentral describes it as "partial 16S ribosomal RNA". It matches the Rfam family "Bacterial small subunit ribosomal RNA", at positions 338 to 795 of the family's 1533-position model. The record is from RNAcentral.
CCUACGGGAGGCUGCAGUGGGGAAUAUUGCACAAUGGGCGAAAGUCUGAUGCAGCAACGCCGCGUGAAGGAAGAAGGGUUUCGGCUCGUAAACUUCUAUCAACAGGGACGAAAGACAUGACGGUCCCUGAAUCAGAAGCCCCGGCUAACUACGUGCCAGCAGCCGCGGUAAUACGUAGGGGGCAAGCGUUAUCCGGAAUUACUGGGUGUAAGGGGUGAGUAGGCGGCAUGGUAAGCCAGAUGUGAAAGCCUUGGGCUUAACCCGAGGAUUGCAUUUGGAACUAUCAAGCUAGAGUACAGGAGAGGAAAGCGGAAUUCCUAGUGUAGCGGUGAAAUGCGUAGAUAUUAGGAAGAACACCAGUGGCGAAGGCGGCUUUCUGGACUGAAACUGACGCUGAGGCACGAAAGCGUGGGGAGCGAACAGGAUUAGAUACCCUAGUAGUC